Molecule: ribosomal RNA, 995 nt
Filed under: gamma proteobacterium MPD-53
Lineage: Bacteria; Pseudomonadati; Pseudomonadota; Gammaproteobacteria
Description: bacterial SSU rRNA
Rfam family: Bacterial small subunit ribosomal RNA
Source: RNAcentral
GUGCCAGCAGCCGCGGUAAUACGGAGGGUGCAAGCGUUAAUCGGAAUUACUGGGCGUAAAGCGCGCGUAGGUGGCUUGAUAAGCCGGUUGUGAAAGCCCCGGGCUCAACCUGGGAACGGCAUCCGGAACUGUCAAGCUAGAGUGCAGGAGAGGAAGGUAGAAUUCCCGGUGUAGCGGUGAAAUGCGUAGAGAUCGGGAGGAAUACCAGUGGCGAAGGCGGCCUUCUGGACUGACACUGACACUGAGGUGCGAAAGCGUGGGUAGCAAACAGGAUUAGAUACCCUGGUAGUCCACGCCGUAAACGAUGUCGACCAGCCGUUGGGUGCCUAGCGCACUUUGUGGCGAAGUUAACGCGAUAAGUCGACCGCCUGGGGAGUACGGCCGCAAGGUUAAAACUCAAAUGAAUUGACGGGGGCCCGCACAAGCGGUGGAGCAUGUGGUUUAAUUCGAUGCAACGCGAAGAACCUUACCUACUCUUGACAUCCUGCGAACUUGUGAGAGAUCACUUGGUGCCUUCGGGAACGCAGAGACAGGUGCUGCAUGGCUGUCGUCAGCUCGUGUUGUGAAAUGUUGGGUUAAGUCCCGUAACGAGCGCAACCCUUGUCCUUAUUUGCCAGCGGGUUAUGCCGGGAACUCUAAGGAGACUGCCGGUGACAAACCGGAGGAAGGUGGGGACGACGUCAAGUCAUCAUGGCCCUUACGAGUAGGGCUACACACGUGCUACAAUGGCCGGUACAAAGGGUUGCGAGCUCGCGAGAGUCAGCUAAUCCCGAAAAGCCGGUCUCAGUCCGGAUCGGAGUCUGCAACUCGACUCCGUGAAGUCGGAAUCGCUAGUAAUCGUGAAUCAGAAUGUCACGGUGAAUACGUUCCCGGGCCUUGUACACACCGCCCGUCACACCAUGGGAGUGGACUGCACCAGAAGUGGUUAGCCUAACGCGAGAGGGCGAUCACCACGGUGUGGUUCAUGACUGGGGUGAAGUCGUAACAAGGUAACC